Cyprinus carpio (common carp) is the source of this 235-nucleotide long non-coding RNA. NCBI's taxonomy places the organism in Eukaryota, Metazoa, Chordata, Actinopteri, Cypriniformes, Cyprinidae. The record is from Ensembl.
AAUACAAGAGAGGACUUUUCAUUGUUUGUAUUACUCUGUUUGUGUGUUCCAGGCAGGAUAUCAGUGUGUGACAGUAUGGCGAUUUUUCAGUAUAUGUUUCUGCAAGCUACAUCGAUACACCAGUAGGCAACAAGUGAUGCUUUAUGAGGUGACACAACACUGCUGUACCUUCUCUGUGAAUGUGUGUGUUUGUUUCCUGACUUGGAAGCAAAGAGUUUGUUACACAUUGCCCUAG